UUAGUUUGAUUAAUUUAUUUAAAGGAUAAUUUUUAUAAUAAUAUUAAAUUAUUAUUAAGUGCAUAUUUUAAGUAAUUACUUAUCAUAUGCUAAGCAUGACAUGACAUUUCAUUUGCAUCAUGAAAUAAAAAGUAUUUAUGAUUUAAUUGGUUUUAUUUAUAAUUCCAAUUAUUAAAGAAAGAUGAGUAAGAAUAUUGUUGGUGUUCUUAACUCAAGAGAAAUGUUUUCAAUUAUUUAUUCAUUAAAUUUUGAAAACCCGGCUAAGUGAAUCAUAGAAUAUUAAGCACUUCACCAUGAAUUAAGAUUAGCUUCACGAGACCUAUUAAGAAUAGAAUUUCUUGUAGGCUUUGUGACCAGGGGGAUUAGCGCUGCUUUCCCAAGACAGGUUUAUAAGUGAUUAUGAUCUUCAGGCUUUGCCUAACCAGGUUGGCUGGCCGGUGCUGACGGGACGGAGCUGAGGCUAGAGUUAAAUUCCUAUGUUAGACUUCCGCUGUAGCAAUUACUCAUUUCAGUCUUUUGUUUUUCCAACUUAAGAUCUUCAUGUUAAAUUUCAAAUGAUAUAUUUGACCGAACUUAGAUUCUUCACUACUAAAUUUAUGCCAAUGAAUGUCGGUUGUCAGAAGCAUGAAACAAAACUUAUGAUCCAAAGGGGCAUAGCCCGAGUUUCUAUCCUAUUUCGGGUUUUAACAAGGUA
This is a long non-coding RNA of Salvia miltiorrhiza (redroot sage), 694 nucleotides long. RefSeq lists it as uncharacterized. The record is from RefSeq and is a predicted model, not a curated record. Lineage: Eukaryota; Viridiplantae; Streptophyta; Magnoliopsida; Lamiales; Lamiaceae. The transcript is spliced from 2 exons.